This 585-nucleotide ribosomal RNA is filed under the name uncultured Actinomycetes bacterium. Its description in RNAcentral is "bacterial SSU rRNA". It matches the Rfam family "Bacterial small subunit ribosomal RNA", at positions 917 to 1503 of the family's 1533-position model. Lineage: Bacteria; Bacillati; Actinomycetota; Actinomycetes. The record is from RNAcentral.
GGGCCCGCACAAGCGGCGGAGCAUGCGGAUUAAUUCGAUGCAACGCGAAGAACCUUACCAAGGCUUGACAUAUAGAGGAAACGUCUGGAAACAGUCGCCCCGCAAGGUCUCUAUACAGGUGGUGCAUGGUUGUCGUCAGCUCGUGUCGUGAGAUGUUGGGUUAAGUCCCGCAACGAGCGCAACCCUCGUCCUAUGUUGCCAGCACGUAAUGGUGGGAACUCAUGGGAGACUGCCGGGGUCAACUCGGAGGAAGGUGGGGAUGACGUCAAAUCAUCAUGCCCCUUAUGUCUUGGGCUUCACGCAUGCUACAAUGGCCGGUACAAAGGGCUGCAAUACCGUAAGGUGGAGCGAAUCCCAAAAAGCCGGUCUCAGUUCGGAUUGAGGUCUGCAACUCGACCUCAUGAAGUUGGAGUCGCUAGUAAUCGUGGAUCAGCAACGCCACGGUGAAUACGUUCCCGGGCCUUGUACACACCGCCCGUCAAGUCAUGAAAGUCGGUAACACCCGAAGCCAGUGGCCCAACCGCAAGGAGGGAGCUGUCGAAGGUGGGAUCGGUGAUUAGGACUAAGUCGUAACAAGGUAACCGU